AUUCUAAUAUCACCAGACAAAUCACUCAGCCUCCGUUUGGUUCGGGGUUAAGGAAAAAGUAGCUAUUCCAGGGAUAGAGUUAAGUUCAUGGUUAAAAUGGGGUUAAAAUUUUUUUGUGUUUAGUUGGGGGUUGGAGUUAAUCUAAAAUAAUGAAAAAUAGUGUUUGGUUGGAGUAGGUGGGAUAAGAAGAUAAUGAUUGAUAAAGAAGGAUAAUGAUUGGUUGGAGUAGAUGUAAUAAGAAAGAUAGUGGGUUAUUAUGAAUAGAAAAUAGUGUUUGGUUAGAGUUUGGUGUGUGAGGCAUCAUCAGAUAGUGAUGGAGUAGAUUGGUGAG
Molecule: long non-coding RNA, 331 nt
Filed under: Ananas comosus (pineapple)
Lineage: Eukaryota; Viridiplantae; Streptophyta; Magnoliopsida; Poales; Bromeliaceae
Description: long non-coding RNA (ACOM_LNC006079)
Source: RNAcentral